CCUACGGGAGGCAGCAGUGGGGAAUAUUGGGCAAUGGGCGCAAGCCUGACCCAGCAACGCCGCGUGAAGGAAGAAGGCUUUCGGGUUGUAAACUUCUUUUAAGGGGGAAGAGCAGAAGACGUUCUCCUUGAAUAUGCCAUGGCUAACUACGUGCCAGCAGCCGCGGUAAUACGUAGGUGGCAAGCGUUGUCCGGAUUUACUGGGUGUAAAGGGCGUGCAGCCGGAGAGAUAAGUCAGAUGUGAAAGCCACGGGCUCAACCCGUGAAGUGCAUUUGAAACUGUUUCCCUUGAGUGUAGGAGAGGUAAGCGGAAUUCCUGGUGUAGCGGUGAAAUGCGUAGAUAUAAGGAAGAACACCAGUGGCGAAGGCGGAUUACUGGACGAUAACUGACGCUGAGGCGCGAAAGCGUGGGGAGCAAACAGGAUUAGAUACCCUUGUAGUC
Molecule: ribosomal RNA, 441 nt
Filed under: uncultured bacterium
Lineage: Bacteria
Description: partial 16S ribosomal RNA
Rfam family: Bacterial small subunit ribosomal RNA
Source: RNAcentral